ACGUGACGCUGAUAACCACAUAAAAGGAGCCGUCACUGGCCCGCCGGUCCCUCUCCUCCUUGUUUGGUCGCAGUUGUGGACAACUGUUGGGUUGACCGAAUUGUCAACACUUUCACAUGGUAUGUCCAAGUUUUACUCUCUGUCUUCGAAUAGCCGUUUAUUGUUCGUUGUUCACUUGUGGUGCGCUUAAUAAGUUAUUUCCGUGUUGAAUUGUUGGCGAGCUUCCUGCUAGGGCAGCUCACCGCGUGGUUCUUGUGCCACUCCUAACAAAAUGGCAGCUUAACCCCAAGUGAUGCAUUUCAACUUUUGACUGUAAUUUCGAGUUGUGAAACGGCUCCUUAGUGAAGUCUUGGAACGUGGGGUACAGUGCCGCUCAUUUAUCCAGCGCAUUUUUGUAAGGCGCCACCUGUUCUAGCGCUCGUUUGGAUCCUCGUCAAACAAAAUGUCGUCUUUUUAACCCCGUGGGUCAAGCUUUCAAUGAUGAGUUGCAUGUGAGUCCGUGUUUCAGCUGAGUCUGAUGAUUAUUAUUCACUGCACUGAUGUGUUUGACCCCCACACCUCGCGGAGAGGUGUGGUGCUUGUUUUUAAAUGAUUGGUUGAACGGUUUCUAAUGCAAAGAAAAAUCCAUUCUUUAUUUUUAGGUUCUCUGCAGUGACCUUGAUACCAAGGUGAUGUUCCUGAGCUGUAUUGUGCUGCCCCAGAACGUUGAGUAGAGUUUAAAUAAAUUUUGAAAGUUUCAGUGCCACCUACAGCGAUGACAUUUAGUCAACACUUCAAGAGUUUUACAAAUACUACCUUUACAAGUGUAAUUGUGUGGCAGUAUACACUGAAAAGAUGGGGGUGGAGAAGUGAAUUGAGAUUUUGAAAUAAGGCACUCAUAAAUUGUGGACUAUUGAUUGUUUUGGGGUGAAGGUGUUUUUAAGUUUAAAUUGACUUGAGAUUAGAACUUUAAUUUUGUAACCUCCCCCACUUUUCACUGUUCAUCUUGUGUACUAAGACAUUAAUAUGAAAUGUGUGAAAGUGACAAUUUCCUUUUGACGGGUGGUAAGUUUAAGGUGAAUGUGGCAUUCCUCACCCCAAUGUUUCUCCUCAGUCAUGCAUAGUCUAGAAUUUUGUGUACACACCUCAAACGUGUCUAAUAAAAUAAUUUUGUUUAAA
Long non-coding RNA from Hippocampus zosterae (dwarf seahorse), 1158 nucleotides. RefSeq lists it as uncharacterized. The record is from RefSeq and is a predicted model, not a curated record. Lineage: Eukaryota; Metazoa; Chordata; Actinopteri; Syngnathiformes; Syngnathidae. The transcript is spliced from 2 exons.